AGUGAACGCUGGCGGUAGGCCUAACACAUGCAAGUCGAACGGCAGCACAGUAAGAGCUUGCUCUUACGGGUGGCGAGUGGCGGACGGGUGAGGAAUACAUCGGAAUCUACUUUUUCGUGGGGGAUAACGUAGGGAAACUUACGCUAAUACCGCAUACGACCUACGGGUGAAAGCAGGGGAUCUUCGGACCUUGCGCGAUUGAAUGAGCCGAUGUCGGAUUAGCUAGUUGGCGGGGUAAAGGCCCACCAAGGCGACGAUCCGUAGCUGGUCUGAGAGGAGGAUCAGCAACACUGGAACUGGGACACGGUCCAGACUCCUACGGGAGGCAGCAGUGGGGAAUAUUGGACAAUGGGCGCAAGCCUGAUCCAGCGAUACCGCGUGGGUGAAGAAGGCCUUCGGGUUGUAAAGCCCUUUUGUUGGGAAAGAAAAGCAGCAGGUUAAUACCCCGCUGUUCUGACGGUACCCAAAGAAUAAGCACCGGCUAACUUCGUG
Molecule: ribosomal RNA, 492 nt
Filed under: uncultured bacterium
Lineage: Bacteria
Description: partial 16S ribosomal RNA
Rfam family: Bacterial small subunit ribosomal RNA
Source: RNAcentral